This 250-nucleotide ribosomal RNA is filed under the name uncultured bacterium. RNAcentral's name for it is "partial 16S ribosomal RNA". It matches the Rfam family "Bacterial small subunit ribosomal RNA", at positions 524 to 773 of the family's 1533-position model. The record is from RNAcentral.
UACCUGGGGAGCAAGCGUUGUCCGGAUUCAUUGGGCGUAAAGGGCUCGUAGGUGGAUUGACCAGUCGAAAUUGAAAUACAAUGGCUUAACCAUUGGCACGGUUUCGAUACUAUCAAUCUUGAGUGAAAUAGAGGUAAGCGGAAUUCCUGGUGUAGCGGUGAAAUGCGUAGAUAUCAGGAGGAACACCAAAGGCGAAGGCAGCUUACUGGAUUUAUACUGACACUGAGGAGCGAAAGCGUGGGUAGCGAAC